Long non-coding RNA from Leopardus geoffroyi (Geoffroy's cat), 876 nucleotides. RefSeq lists it as uncharacterized. Lineage: Eukaryota; Metazoa; Chordata; Mammalia; Carnivora; Felidae. The record is from RefSeq and is a predicted model, not a curated record. The transcript is spliced from 3 exons.
CAGAGAGAUAAGAAGCCCAUGGCUGGAGGGAACCGGUCUCUUCUUUUCAUUGUCUCCUAUCAUCUAGUCCUGUGCCUGGCACAGGCAUUUGCUUUGCACCUGUCAGAUGAUUGAAUGCAUGCACAAAAAUGGCAAGGAAUACAGAUACGUGAAAAUCCUUUCAAUGUUAAAAAUCAUCAAACACGGAUCACAGGAACUGAGGAAUGGGAGCUGUUGAAAGAGUUGCCAUUAACAUUAAAUCAGCCUAUGAGGAGGCCCAGAUGGCAAGAAACUAAAGUCUCUGGCCAACAGACAGUGAGGAGGUGAAGUCUGCCAAUAACCAUGAAAGUGAACUUGCAACUAGAUCCUUCGACCUGGUCAAGUCUUGAGAUGACUACAGCACCAGCUGGCAUCUUGACUGUAACUCUAGAGAGACCCUGAGCCAGAAACAAUCAGGGAAGUCUCCUGAAUGAGUUUAAGAUUUAAAAGAAAAAGAAAACAAGGAAAACAAAGGGAAGCCAACAAAUCUGUUAAAGGCAAGAACAGUAACAACGAUAUGGCCAAAACAAGCACUCAUGAUUAAUACAGGUGAGUCAAAUGCUCGGUUAUUUCCCUCCUGAUUGCUAGAAUUAUCUCUGAAAAAAAAAAUCACUGAAUCUCCUCUUUGAAGAGUUUAUAGAUAAGUGAAACUAUUUCAUGGAAAUGCUAACCUUAACAUAAAAUGUGGUCUCUUUCACUUCAAAAAACAAAAACAAAGCAAAGGUAAAAUAAGACAAAACAGCUCAGUUUAAUUUCAAACGUUAAUAUAUUUUCUAUUUUAUAUUGAACAUAUGCAUCUGUAACCCCUCAUUUGCAGCAACUAUCACAUCCUCAUAAAAGGGGCAAAAUUUGUAAGAU